RNAcentral lists this ribosomal RNA (630 nucleotides) under uncultured Acidobacteriota bacterium. RNAcentral describes it as "SSU rRNA". It matches the Rfam family "Bacterial small subunit ribosomal RNA", at positions 242 to 865 of the family's 1533-position model. The record is from RNAcentral. Lineage: Bacteria; Pseudomonadati; Acidobacteriota.
CAGCUAGUUGGUGAGGUAAUGGCUCACCAAGGCUUCGAUCUGUAGCUGGUCUGAGAGGACGGCCAGCCACACUGGCACUGACACACGGGCCAGACUCCUACGGGAGGCAGCAGUGGGGAAUUUUGGGCAAUGGGCGAAAGCCUGACCCAGCAACGCCGCGUGAGGGAGGAAAUCCUUCGGGAUGUAAACCUCACAAGCAAGGGAAGAGAGCUAUGGGCUGAAUAAUCCCGUAGUGCGACGGUACCUUGCGUAAGCCACGGCUAACUACGUGCCAGCAGCCGCGGUAAUACGUAGGUGGCAAGCGUUGUUCGGAAUUAUUGGGCGUAAAGGGCGCGUAGGCGGUUUGUUAAGUCGGCUGUGAAAGCCCGGGGCUCAACCCCGGAGGGUCAGCCGAUACUGGCAGACUAGAGUACGGAAGAGGUAGCUGGAAUUCCCGGUGUAGCGGUGAAAUGCGUAGAUAUCGGGAGGACACCUGAGGCGAAGGCGGGCUACUGGGCCGAUACUGACGCUGAUGCGCGAAAGCCAGGGGAGCGAACGGGAUUAGAUACCCCGGUAGUCCUGGCCCUAAACGAUGGACACUUGGUGUGUCGGGUAUUCCAGUCCCGAUGUGCCGGAGCUAACGCGUUAAGU